UACGAACUGUGCAAACGUUAUUCGGAAUCACUGGGCUUACAGGGUGCGUAGGCGGCUUGUUAAGUAGGGUGUGAAAGCCCCCGGCUCAACCGGGGAAUUGCGCCCUAAACUGGCGAGCUGGAGUGAGAUAGGGGUGUGUGGAACUUCCGGUGGAGCGGUGAAAUGUGUUGAUAUCGGAAGGAACGCCGGUGGCGAAAGCGACACACUGGAUCUUGUCUGACGCUGAGGCACGAAAGCCAGGGGAG
This 245-nucleotide ribosomal RNA is filed under the name uncultured Planctomyces sp. RNAcentral's name for it is "partial 16S ribosomal RNA". It matches the Rfam family "Bacterial small subunit ribosomal RNA", at positions 524 to 768 of the family's 1533-position model. The record is from RNAcentral. Lineage: Bacteria; Pseudomonadati; Planctomycetota; Planctomycetia; Planctomycetales; Planctomycetaceae.